UAGGAUGUAUUAACAAUAUUUAUUCACUACAAGCUCCAGUGUUAUUUUUCCUAUUUCAUUUCAACCCAACAGUCAGAAUGAGAUGUGUUUCUUUUUCUUUACAUAUUUACAGAUUGGUUUCACUAUUGGCAAUAUAUCACAUUUAUCUAUAUACACAACCCAUUUAUCACCUUGUUGACACUAAGCACUUUGAAUGGUCACUAAGACCAGAAAAGCGCCAUAUAAAUGCAGUCUAUUUAUCGUUCUUGCCAGCCAUCAGCAGAAGAUGUUUGUUAAAUAUGGGUUAAAACCUCAGUAGAUUUCUACUGAUUGUGUUCUCUUUCCGCCUUAUCUCUUGAAAACAGAGGGCAGAGCAAAAGUAAAAUAAACUCCAUUUAGUUUUACUUUUGGAACUUUCCAUUCUCUUUAGGAAUAAAGCUAAAGGCCUUAGAAUAAGAGUUCAGUAAUGCUUUCAGAAAGUGUUCAGGGCAGGGACACUGGAAGAGAUUGUGAGUGAAAUAUUCACAAAGACUUUAUUAUGAAAACACUGACAGACAAAAAGGAGGGGAUGCGAUCACUGAUCUUUGACCAUCUGCCCUCGUUUAGCCUUUCUCUAUUUAAAAUCAGUGUGUUCAAGUGCCGUAGCUCUCCAGCACUGUAGACAAAGGAAAACAAAGAAAGAAAUGGGUCCAUGUAGUCAGACCAUACAUGAGCAAGUCAGUUUAUGAUACUGGAGUAACUGAUUAAUGUAAACUGAAUACUGAAUAAAUGAAGAAUAUGGAGAUCCAAAGUACCAGCCGUUAUAAUGUCAGAAAAGCAAUUCUGGGUUAUGGUGAAGCACACGUAACUGUCAGGACAUUAACAUCAUAACAUAUUAGGCCUGUAUAACUUGAUAUUUAUUGCUCCCAUUAUCAAAAUAUUUGGUGGGAUUCGUCUGAAAGUGAGUACUGAAAAUCAGUAUUUCAUUUAAAAAUGUUCAAAUAUUGACUUUAAGUUACCUUUUGAAAAGUGCAAGUAUUUCUGAACUGAUUACUCAUCAAAUGUGGUACAAGCGUACUUCCAAGUCAUAGCUAUGGAUAAAUACAAUUUGGUUUUGGAAAGAGGUGAAAUGAAAGAGUAGGAGAAAAAAAAAGGUUAACAGUGAGACACCUUCAGUUCUCACUAUAAUGAUUUUAAUGGAAGAACAUGACAGCCAAUCAAAAAUACAAGAAGAAGAAGAAGAAGAA
Molecule: long non-coding RNA, 1205 nt
Organism: Astatotilapia calliptera (eastern happy)
Lineage: Eukaryota; Metazoa; Chordata; Actinopteri; Cichliformes; Cichlidae
Source: Ensembl